Molecule: ribosomal RNA, 2930 nt
Filed under: Escherichia coli
Lineage: Bacteria; Pseudomonadati; Pseudomonadota; Gammaproteobacteria; Enterobacterales; Enterobacteriaceae
Description: 23S ribosomal RNA
Rfam family: Bacterial large subunit ribosomal RNA
Source: RNAcentral
GGGUUGUGAGGUUAAGCGACUAAGCGUACACGGUGGAUGCCCUGGCAGUCAGAGGCGAUGAAGGACGUGCUAAUCUGCGAUAAGCGUCGGUAAGGUGAUAUGAACCGUUAUAACCGGCGAUUUCCGAAUGGGGAAACCCAGUGUGUUUCGACACACUAUCAUUAACUGAAUCCAUAGGUUAAUGAGGCGAACCGGGGGAACUGAAACAUCUAAGUACCCCGAGGAAAAGAAAUCAACCGAGAUUCCCCCAGUAGCGGCGAGCGAACGGGGAGGAGCCCAGAGCCUGAAUCAGUGUGUGUGUUAGUGGAAGCGUCUGGAAAGGCGCGCGAUACAGGGUGACAGCCCCGUACACAAAAAUGCACAUGCUGUGAGCUCGAUGAGUAGGGCGGGACACGUGGUAUCCUGUCUGAAUAUGGGGGGACCAUCCUCCAAGGCUAAAUACUCCUGACUGACCGAUAGUGAACCAGUACCGUGAGGGAAAGGCGAAAAGAACCCCGGCGAGGGGAGUGAAAAAGAACCUGAAACCGUGUACGUACAAGCAGUGGGAGCACGCUUAGGCGUGUGACUGCGUACCUUUUGUAUAAUGGGUCAGCGACUUAUAUUCUGUAGCAAGGUUAACCGAAUAGGGGAGCCGAAGGGAAACCGAGUCUUAACUGGGCGUUAAGUUGCAGGGUAUAGACCCGAAACCCGGUGAUCUAGCCAUGGGCAGGUUGAAGGUUGGGUAACACUAACUGGAGGACCGAACCGACUAAUGUUGAAAAAUUAGCGGAUGACUUGUGGCUGGGGGUGAAAGGCCAAUCAAACCGGGAGAUAGCUGGUUCUCCCCGAAAGCUAUUUAGGUAGCGCCUCGUGAAUUCAUCUCCGGGGGUAGAGCACUGUUUCGGCAAGGGGGUCAUCCCGACUUACCAACCCGAUGCAAACUGCGAAUACCGGAGAAUGUUAUCACGGGAGACACACGGCGGGUGCUAACGUCCGUCGUGAAGAGGGAAACAACCCAGACCGCCAGCUAAGGUCCCAAAGUCAUGGUUAAGUGGGAAACGAUGUGGGAAGGCCCAGACAGCCAGGAUGUUGGCUUAGAAGCAGCCAUCAUUUAAAGAAAGCGUAAUAGCUCACUGGUCGAGUCGGCCUGCGCGGAAGAUGUAACGGGGCUAAACCAUGCACCGAAGCUGCGGCAGCGACGCUUAUGCGUUGUUGGGUAGGGGAGCGUUCUGUAAGCCUGUGAAGGUGUGCUGUGAGGCAUGCUGGAGGUAUCAGAAGUGCGAAUGCUGACAUAAGUAACGAUAAAGCGGGUGAAAAGCCCGCUCGCCGGAAGACCAAGGGUUCCUGUCCAACGUUAAUCGGGGCAGGGUGAGUCGACCCCUAAGGCGAGGCCGAAAGGCGUAGUCGAUGGGAAACAGGUUAAUAUUCCUGUACUUGGUGUUACUGCGAAGGGGGGACGGAGAAGGCUAUGUUGGCCGGGCGACGGUUGUCCCGGUUUAAGCGUGUAGGCUGGUUUUCCAGGCAAAUCCGGAAAAUCAAGGCUGAGGCGUGAUGACGAGGCACUACGGUGCUGAAGCAACAAAUGCCCUGCUUCCAGGAAAAGCCUCUAAGCAUCAGGUAACAUCAAAUCGUACCCCAAACCGACACAGGUGGUCAGGUAGAGAAUACCAAGGCGCUUGAGAGAACUCGGGUGAAGGAACUAGGCAAAAUGGUGCCGUAACUUCGGGAGAAGGCACGCUGAUAUGUAGGUGAAGUCCCUCGCGGAUGGAGCUGAAAUCAGUCGAAGAUACCAGCUGGCUGCAACUGUUUAUUAAAAACACAGCACUGUGCAAACACGAAAGUGGACGUAUACGGUGUGACGCCUGCCCGGUGCCGGAAGGUUAAUUGAUGGGGUCAGCGCAAGCGAAGCUCUUGAUCGAAGCCCCGGUAAACGGCGGCCGUAACUAUAACGGUCCUAAGGUAGCGAAAUUCCUUGUCGGGUAAGUUCCGACCUGCACGAAUGGCGUAAUGAUGGCCAGGCUGUCUCCACCCGAGACUCAGUGAAAUUGAACUCGCUGUGAAGAUGCAGUGUACCCGCGGCAAGACGGAAAGACCCCGUGAACCUUUACUAUAGCUUGACACUGAACAUUGAGCCUUGAUGUGUAGGAUAGGUGGGAGGCUUUGAAGUGUGGACGCCAGUCUGCAUGGAGCCGACCUUGAAAUACCACCCUUUAAUGUUUGAUGUUCUAACGUUGACCCGUAAUCCGGGUUGCGGACAGUGUCUGGUGGGUAGUUUGACUGGGGCGGUCUCCUCCUAAAGAGUAACGGAGGAGCACGAAGGUUGGCUAAUCCUGGUCGGACAUCAGGAGGUUAGUGCAAUGGCAUAAGCCAGCUUGACUGCGAGCGUGACGGCGCGAGCAGGUGCGAAAGCAGGUCAUAGUGAUCCGGUGGUUCUGAAUGGAAGGGCCAUCGCUCAACGGAUAAAAGGUACUCCGGGGAUAACAGGCUGAUACCGCCCAAGAGUUCAUAUCGACGGCGGUGUUUGGCACCUCGAUGUCGGCUCAUCACAUCCUGGGGCUGAAGUAGGUCCCAAGGGUAUGGCUGUUCGCCAUUUAAAGUGGUACGCGAGCUGGGUUUAGAACGUCGUGAGACAGUUCGGUCCCUAUCUGCCGUGGGCGCUGGAGAACUGAGGGGGGCUGCUCCUAGUACGAGAGGACCGGAGUGGACGCAUCACUGGUGUUCGGGUUGUCAUGCCAAUGGCACUGCCCGGUAGCUAAAUGCGGAAGAGAUAAGUGCUGAAAGCAUCUAAGCACGAAACUUGCCCCGAGAUGAGUUCUCCCUGACUCCUUGAGAGUCCUGAAGGAACGUUGAAGACGACGACGUUGAUAGGCCGGGUGUGUAAGCGCAGCGAUGCGUUGAGCUAACCGGUACUAAUGAACCGUGAGGCUUAACCUUACAACGCCGAAGCUGUU